RNAcentral lists this ribosomal RNA (459 nucleotides) under uncultured bacterium. RNAcentral describes it as "partial 16S ribosomal RNA". It matches the Rfam family "Bacterial small subunit ribosomal RNA", at positions 338 to 795 of the family's 1533-position model. The record is from RNAcentral.
CCUACGGGUGGCAGCAGUGAGGAAUAUUGGUCAAUGGUCGGGAGACUGAACCAGCCAAGCCGCGUGAGGGAUGAAGGUACAGAGUAUCGUAAACCUCUUUUGUCAGGGAACAAAGGCGGGGACGCGUCCCCGGAUGAGUGUACCUGAAGAAAAAGCAUCGGCUAACUCCGUGCCAGCAGCCGCGGUAAUACGGAGGAUGCGAGCGUUAUCCGGUUUUAUUGGGUUAAAGGGGUGCGAAGGGGGUGUGUUAAGUCAGCGGUAAAAGCCCGGGGCUCAACCCCGGCCCGCCGUUGAAACUGGCAGUCUCGAGUUGGAGAGAAGUAUGCGGAAUGCGCGGUGUAGCGGUGAAAUGCAUAGAUAUCGCGCAGAACUCCGAUUGCGAAGGCAGCAUGCCGGCUCCACACUGACGCUGAGGCACGAAAGCGUGGGUAUCGAACAGGAUUAGAUACCCGGGUAGUC